GAGGUGCCUCCAGAUUACAGCGGUAAGUAUAAGGUCCUGUCUGCUGGGAUGAAGACGUACGAGGUGCCUCCAGAUUACAGCGGUAAGUAUAAGGUCCUGUCUGCUGGGAUGAAGACGUACGAGGUGCCUCCAGAUUACAGCGGUAAGUAUAAGGUCCUGUCUGCUGGGAUGAAGACGUACGAGGUGCCUCCAGAUUACAGCGGUAAGUAUAAGGUCCUGUCUGCUGGGAUGAAGACGUACGAGGUGCCUCCAGAUUACAGCGAGGUUGUGCUACCUGAAAGACCCAAGCUGAAGUUUCUGAACAAGGUGCCUAACUUGAAGAAGGCGAGGAAAGAGAUGAAGAAGCUGAGAGACAUCCAGGGACCGGCUCAGACAGCCAACACCUUCACCAAGGGACAGUACGGCAUCGUGGCGCUGGGCGGAGGCUACCUUCACUCGGUCACAUGGAGAUGAUGCGUCUGACCAUCAACAGGAGGAUGGACCCUCGCACCACCUUCGCCCGCUGGCGUAUCAACGCUCCCUACAAGCCCAUCACCAGGAAGGGCCUGGGCCAGAGGAUGGGAGGAGGGAAAGGGAGCAUAGACCACUACGUCACGCCGGUGAAGUACGGACGGAUGAUCGUGGAGAUCGGGGACGGCUGGAACUGGGCGAGGUGGAGCCUAUCCUCAAGGAAGUGGCCAAGAAACUGCCCUUCCUUGCCAAGGUAGUGUCCAGAGAGAGCCUGGCAGCCAUGCAGCAGGAGCAGCAGGACAUGGAGCAGAACAACCAGAAUCCCUGGACCUUCCAAAGGAUCGCCAGGGGCAACAUGCUGGGGGUCAGGAAGGUCCUCAGUCCCUUUGAUCUCCACAACCACGGGAAGUACAGCGGAAAGUUCCACAACCCAGGCAGGGUGUGAGGGGAGUCGCCCGUGGUGCCCCUUCAAAAAAAAUACAUUUUUUAACAGCUGCGCUUUGGAACAUGGUUUCCAUCCAAAAUGGCUGACUAUUCCCUAUACGGUACACUACUUUUGACCAGAGCCCGGGUGUCAUGUCAGACGCAGCGCAUGGAGCCAAAAUGGCUGUCAGUCAUGUGGAGAAUUCUAUCCUUCUGUGUGACUUCCUUAUUCGGAUGUAGCCCGUUAAUUUUAUGUCCCAAAUCAGCGAUUGGUGUUCAAUAACAAAAUAAAGAAACUUGUCAGAAUA
Non-coding RNA from Salmo salar (Atlantic salmon), 1181 nucleotides. NCBI's taxonomy places the organism in Eukaryota, Metazoa, Chordata, Actinopteri, Salmoniformes, Salmonidae. The record is from RefSeq and is a predicted model, not a curated record.